Molecule: ribosomal RNA, 489 nt
Filed under: Snodgrassella alvi
Lineage: Bacteria; Pseudomonadati; Pseudomonadota; Betaproteobacteria; Neisseriales; Neisseriaceae
Description: bacterial LSU rRNA
Rfam family: Bacterial large subunit ribosomal RNA
Source: RNAcentral
CGCUCAACGGAUAAAAGGUACUCCGGGGAUAACAGGCUGAUUCCGCCCAAGAGUUCAUAUCGACGGCGGAGUUUGGCACCUCGAUGUCGGCUCAUCACAUCCUGGGGCUGUAGUCGGUCCCAAGGGUAUGGCUGUUCGCCAUUUAAAGUGGUACGUGAGCUGGGUUUAAAACGUCGUGAGACAGUUUGGUCCCUAUCUGCAGUGGGCGUUGGAAGUUUGACGGGGGCUGCUCCUAGUACGAGAGGACCGGAGUGGACGAACCUCUGGUGUACCGGUUGUGACGCCAGUCGCAUCGCCGGGUAGCUAAGUUUGGAAGAGAUAAACGCUGAAAGCAUCUAAGCGUGAAACUCGCCUGAAGAUGAGACUUCCCUAGGGAUAUAAUCCCUCUAAAGAGACGUUCGAGACCAGGACGUUGAUAGGUCGGGUGUGGAAGAGUGGUAACACUUGCAGCUAACCGAUACUAAUUGCUCGUGAGGCUUGACUCUAUCA